This is a long non-coding RNA of Exaiptasia diaphana, 501 nucleotides long. RefSeq lists it as uncharacterized. The record is from RefSeq and is a predicted model, not a curated record. The transcript has 3 exons. Lineage: Eukaryota; Metazoa; Cnidaria; Anthozoa; Actiniaria; Aiptasiidae.
UUCAAGAUCAAGGCCAGUGCAUYCAAGGCACGUCAUGGAGGAUUGAGUACAGCGAUGCCAUCGAAGACCAUGCUAUUGUUGGUCCUCUCUUAAAGUCCAUUACGGCUUUAACCGACAACGACUGCAAAGAUKCCUGCUUCAUGCACGUCCCUGAUGUAUGCUACAUGUUCAACUAUCACCCAAAGACCAAGAAAUGUGAACUUUUCUACAAAGAUCGUGCUUCAGAAUACAGAGUAGAAAUGCGGAGUGGAUAUUUAUUUAAAACACUAAAGUGCAAGUCAAACCAAUGCCUUAACGGCGGGCAGUGCUACUCCCUGGGACAAAGUACACAAUGCUUAUGCAGACACGGACGCAGUGGACCAACUUGUGCUUAAUUCAAGCCUCCUUAAUUCAAUGACAGCAUGAUUCCACAAGAGCACUGCCACCCUGGGCAAUACAGGCUGGAUUUAAUCUUUUUUAUAGUUUAUUUAUGCUGCUUCACGUCGUCUUUAAGGCUGUUAG